CAAACAGCUCAGCAAAGGGAACACAUUGUCCGUUCCAAGGCUUUCCGUGAACAAAUACAUUUGAUAUUUGAGACAGCACCCUGUAUGAAAUAGGCCCUGAUUUUCAAUAUACCCUUGAAUUCUUUUAUCUUGUUGUCAAUAGGUUUAAUAAUUGAUUGUGGGGAAAACACAAUAGGGUAAGAAAAAUACCAGGGUUAUCUCAAGAGUUCUGGAGGAAUGAUUUGUGUCAAAUUAGGUAGCUGGAAUAAACCCCUGUGGCCAAUCUUCUAUGAAUGAAAUUGUCCAUCUUUCCUAGGAAUGAGUCAAUCUGUGUAUUUGUGAAUUUCAAAUAUAAGUGUGACUACUAUGGUAGAAGGAAAUAGCUGUCAGAAUAAAGAGAAAAGGAGAUGGAUUUUCCACCUUGUCAUGAUUAACACACUUUCUCAGUCGUUCUUGGCCAGCAUUUGCAAAUAGUGACUGUUGUGGCUAAUUGGAGUAUUCCUUGCAGUUUUCUCAUGUCAGCUUAUACGAGCCAACAUAAAGAAAUACCUUUGUGGACUAGAUGCAGUCAUCUCACUCUUGGAUAGCUUUGUUAUGGUACCUACUGCAUUAUACCGAAAUUUAG
RNAcentral lists this long non-coding RNA (604 nucleotides) under Homo sapiens (human). RNAcentral describes it as "HSALNT0268924". The record is from RNAcentral. Lineage: Eukaryota; Metazoa; Chordata; Mammalia; Primates; Hominidae.